AACGCAUAUUGCGCCUGCGCCUCGGCAAAGGCAUGUCUGCCUCAGCGUCGGUUUACCCCCUCCAAUCUCCCUCUUCUUUGCGGGACAGAUUGGGAUGUGACCUCCCCUUUCUCUGGGUUGGUUGAAACCGAUGCCCGUGCCCACCAUCCAAACGAAGGCACAGAAAGGUAGGCCGCUCAAUCAAGCGGCACUGCCCCUGUGAUCUUCGGGUGAGUGCUCGGGUGACACAGGAAUGCUUCUUCUCUUCCUUUCACAAGGAAGGAAGGAGAUCAUCAAACAUCUGACCUGAGCUCAGGCAAGACCACCCGCUGAACUUAA
RNAcentral lists this unclassified non-coding RNA (318 nucleotides) under uncultured fungus. RNAcentral describes it as "partial contains 5.8S ribosomal RNA, internal transcribed spacer 2, and large subunit ribosomal RNA". The record is from RNAcentral. Lineage: Eukaryota; Fungi.